AUGGCGCAGAGCUGGGCGGACAGAGCCGAGCAGAUGGUGUCUUCUCUGGGGGAAAUGCUGGGGCUGGAGGCCGCGGCGCCUCUGGCCCUGUGGCCGGCCGGAGUGCUGCUUCUGUCGGUCGGCCUGGGGCUGGUCCUCACGCUGCUGCUGCUGGGGCUCCACAGGCCCGGAGCGGCGAGGGAGCAGCGGGGGAGGGCCGAGGACAGCCCGCCGGAGCCGGGCCGAACCGGGAAGCCCGAGGAGCCGCGGAAGAGGAUAAGGAAGAAGGCGGGAGAGAAGAAGCUGCAGAGGAACGGUCUGGCCGUGGAGCCGCAGGAGGAAGUGAAGCCGGUGGAGAUGCAGAGUUCGGACCCGGCUGAACCUAAAGCUGAUAAGGCCAAGAAGAAUAAGAAAAAGCCCAAAACUCCAGCAAAAGAAGCAAAAUCUGCCCCUUCAGAGCGUAAAGAACAGGAUGAAGUCGUUCUUUUAGAUCUAGCACUUCCAUUCUGCAUUGAGUACCUGAAGUUAAUAAGAAGAGAAGAAGUGGGGAAUAAGCUUUUUGUUUUUAUGCUCCGAAGAAAUGGAACAGCUGUUUCAAAAAAAGCAGCUGAAGGCAUAUUUUUAUAAACUUCGUUUUAAUGACUGAGCCAUUUGUAUUUACUGAUUUACACUUUUGUUAUUUUUGUUUUAAUUUAUUUAUUUUAAUAUAUCACAGUCACUACAUGUUUUAAUUCGUCUUGACAUCAUUCUUACCCAUCCUUACGCAGAGUGUUUUUGGAGAAAAUAUUGAAGUAUUGUGAUAUUAUGUUUUGCAGUACUAAAAU
This 803-nucleotide long non-coding RNA is filed under the name Astyanax mexicanus (Mexican tetra). Its description in RNAcentral is "lncRNA (ENSAMXG00005018589.1)". The record is from RNAcentral. Lineage: Eukaryota; Metazoa; Chordata; Actinopteri; Characiformes; Acestrorhamphidae.